UGGGGGAUGGUGUAAUCGGCAACACAAUAGACUCUGGAUCUAUCGUUCCAGGUUCGAGCCCUGGUCCCCCAGCCA
RNAcentral lists this transfer RNA (75 nucleotides) under Bacillota bacterium. RNAcentral's name for it is "Firmicutes bacterium (anaerobic digester metagenome) tRNA-Gln". It matches the Rfam family "tRNA". Rfam says of the family: Transfer RNA (tRNA) molecules are approximately 80 nucleotides in length. Their secondary structure includes four short double-helical elements and three loops (D, anti-codon, and T loops). Lineage: Bacteria; Bacillati; Bacillota. RNAcentral also lists the same sequence under 1 other name. The record is from RNAcentral.